This is a long non-coding RNA of Papaver somniferum (opium poppy), 375 nucleotides long. RefSeq lists it as uncharacterized. The transcript has 3 exons. Lineage: Eukaryota; Viridiplantae; Streptophyta; Magnoliopsida; Ranunculales; Papaveraceae. The record is from RefSeq and is a predicted model, not a curated record.
UCUUUGAAAUACCUAAAUAAUCGUCGUCAAUUCCUUUUCUUUAGCAUUAACUCCAAAUCGAUAAUUAUUAGCAAAUCAAUUUGAAUAUUUCAUCAUUUGGAAGCGAUUUGAAAAAUGAGAACCUGUUCUUAUCAUUUAAUUUGAAUUUACCGAGCACGGAUCUAAUGCCUUUGGAGAAGAUGUCAUUUGUUCCGCUUAUAUUUCCGUCAUAUCUGCUCAUAGGUCUGGUUCUUAUCUAUGAAAUAUUGACUCCUUCAAUUCAUGACAUGCAUGAAUCAGUUGGCCGCAGCUAAUGAAGACUGUUGAACAUGGAUACUACACAGAGAUGAUUACCUUUUGCUUAAUCUAUUUAUAAAUGGUGGAUAUCACUAGCGU